Molecule: long non-coding RNA, 1206 nt
Organism: Arachis stenosperma
Lineage: Eukaryota; Viridiplantae; Streptophyta; Magnoliopsida; Fabales; Fabaceae
Exons: 2
Source: RefSeq, a predicted model, not a curated record
UUUUGAUUUACUUCUCAUCAAAGAAGUAGUUGGAUCUGGAUAUGAAGGAAAUGAAGCAUCUUAGUUGAGAGAAGUUCGGCUGCUAAUUGCUUCUAAUAGUCUCAUUUGGUUUUUGACUAAAUUCUACUUCUAAGGGUCAUAUUUAAACCGAAGAAAAUAUGGCCGCUGCUAUUGUGGGAGGGGCAUUACUCUCUGCUUCUGUUCAGGUGUUGUUGGAUAAGAUCAUUUCCAAUGAGUUCUUGGACUUCUUUCGGAGAAGGAAGCUUAAUGUUUCACUUCUUGGAAAGGCGAAGACGAAGACGAAGUUAAAGACAAGUUUGAUUUAAAAGCAUGGGCAUGUGUUCAGGAUCACUAAGACCAUGCUUGAAUCGGUUACCUCAAAAACAACAAAUACUAAUAACUUGAAUACUCUGCUAUGCAAACCUUUCCUAUCUUCCAUUUGACAUCUCUUGAUAGUGAAGAUUGCUGAACACGCAUUUGUAGCAAAUAAUUCCAGUGAAAGGUCCAACCUAGAGGGAAUUGGAAGAGAAAUUGUGAAAAAAUGUGAUGGUUUGCCUUUAGCUGCAGUUGCAUUGGGGAGUCUUCUUUGCACCAAAUAGUCGAAAAAUGAUUGGAAUAAGGUACUUAGAAGUAACAUUUGGGAUCUGCCAAAUUUAAAUGUGCAACAUGCUCUGCUACUAAGCUAUCAUUUCCUUCCAGCUCCUUUGAAACGUUGCUUUGCUUAUUGUUCAAUUUUCCAGAGAACUCAGUCUUAGAAAAAGAGAUGCUAGUUCGGCUAUGGAUCGCAGAAAGUUUAGUACAUGUGACAAAAAGUAAGAAAAUCCUGGAAGAAGUUGGUGACGAAUUCAAUUUGCUGGGGAAGCUCUGCAUUUCAAAGCUAGAAAAAAUUGUUGACCCUGUGAUGCUUCACAGGCCAAUAUGAAGAAGAAAGAACAAAUUGAGGAUCUAUCAUUAGAAUGGGAUAGCUGCACUGCUCAAGAGUCCCAACAUCUUGUAUUGGAGCACCUGCAGCCUUCAACAAACUUGAACAAACUAACCAUCAAAUUCUAUGCUGGAACCUGGUUUUCCAACUGGUUAGGUAAUUCCUCAUUUGCAAACAUGGUGUAUUUGUGCAUUUAUCCAGUUGUUCUCUACUUGAGUCACAAUUUUCUGUUUAAGUAGAUAACAGAAACAUUAUCAAUGCAUCAAAUCUAUUCAGUGAAGUAA